Long non-coding RNA from Anopheles gambiae (African malaria mosquito), 608 nucleotides. RefSeq lists it as uncharacterized. The transcript has 3 exons. Lineage: Eukaryota; Metazoa; Arthropoda; Insecta; Diptera; Culicidae. The record is from RefSeq and is a predicted model, not a curated record.
GUGGAGGUGUCCCUCCCGACAAUGGCACUCAAAUUCUCUCAUUUUCUCAUGCCCUCUCUGUCACAUUCGUAGCUCGAUCUCCUUCUUCUGGGACUUAGCGUUCUGUGCAUGCGGUUUUUGCAACGGUCAUUUCGUGCCGCUUCGAUCUCAUCACCUUCUUUCCCCUCCCACCCCUCUUUUUGAUCCUCGCUUUGGGGCUUGCAAAUUUUUGACAUGUCAAAUGAGAGUGAAGCUAAAAUGUAAACAACAAGUGUUCGCGUGUGCCGUGAUUUUAAUAAACAUAAAAUCAACCACGGAAGUAUGAUUUAGUUGUGGUGGAAGCGAAAAAAAAAUGCUUGGAGCAUGGAAUAAAACCGGAUGAAAUUUCUAGCCUUCACGCACGAUGCCGACGCUGAGGUAAGGUGUGCUUGUCUUUAAUUUCGAUGAUUGUUUCAUUCGAAUUGCACACAACAACCACCCACAAUCACAGCUGUAAAAGUAACACGGAUAGGUAGCAAGGAAAUCAAGCUUGUACACAGAAAUCUACACAAAAACUGGGUUUUAUAAGCGCACGAAAAGCGACGCGGCUAUCUUUGAAUAAAAAGUAAACAAAAGAGUUUCGUUUUAAU